GACGAACGCUGGCGGCGUGCUUAACACAUGCAAGUCGAACGGAAAGGCCCUGCUUUUGUGGGUUGCUCGAGUGGCGAACGGGUGAGUAACACGUGAGUAACCUGCCCUUGACUUUGGGAUAACUUCAGGAAACUGGGGCUCAUACCGGAUAUGAUCUCCUGCUGCAUGGUGGUGGUUGGAAAGUUUCGGCGGUUGGGGCUGGACUCGCGGCUUAUCAGCUUGUUGGUGGGGUAGUGGCUUACCAAGGCUUUGACGGGUAGCCGGCCUGAGAGGGUGACCGGCCACAUUGGGACUGAGAUACGGCCCAGACUCCUACGGGAGGCAGCAGUGGGGAAUAUUGCACAAUGGGCGGAAGCCUGAUGCAGCAACGCCGCGUGCGGGAUGACGGCCUUCGGGUUGUAAACCGCUUUCGCCUGUGACGAAGAGUGAGUGACGGUAAUGGAUAAAGAAGCACCGGCUAACUACGUG
Molecule: ribosomal RNA, 468 nt
Filed under: uncultured bacterium
Lineage: Bacteria
Description: partial 16S ribosomal RNA
Rfam family: Bacterial small subunit ribosomal RNA
Source: RNAcentral